CCCCGGAUGCCAACGGCUCGAGGAAUGUCCUGGGGCCACUUGAACCCAAAGUUCUGGAGUUGUUGGUGUUACGAAC
This 76-nucleotide microRNA precursor is filed under the name Capitella teleta. Its description in RNAcentral is "microRNA cte-mir-2718 precursor". Lineage: Eukaryota; Metazoa; Annelida; Polychaeta; Capitellidae. The record is from miRBase by way of RNAcentral.